Molecule: ribosomal RNA, 279 nt
Filed under: Clostridioides difficile
Lineage: Bacteria; Bacillati; Bacillota; Clostridia; Peptostreptococcales; Peptostreptococcaceae
Description: partial 23S ribosomal RNA
Rfam family: Bacterial large subunit ribosomal RNA
Source: RNAcentral
UCAGGUGGCCGCAGAGAAUAGUCCCAAGCGACUGUCUACCAAAAACAUAGGUUUCUGCUAAGUCGCAAGACGAUGUAUAGGAGCUGACGCCUGCCCGGUGCCGGAAGGUUAAGGGGAUCUGUUAGAGCAAUCGAAGCAGUGAACUUAAGCACCAGGAAACGGCGGCGGUAACUAUAACGGUCCUAAGGUAGCGAAAUUCCUUGUCGGGUAAGUUCCGACCCGCACGAAAGGCGUAACGAUUUGGGCACUGUCUCAACAACAGACUCGGUGAAAUUGUAA